UACGAAGGGGGCUAGCGUUGUUCGGAAUCACUGGGCGUAAAGCGCACGUAGGCGGAUCUUUAAGUCAGGGGUGAAAUCCCGAGGCUCAACCUCGGAACUGCCUUUGAUACUGGGAAUCUUGAGUAUGGUAGAGGUUGGUGGAACAGCAAGUGUAGAGGUGAAAUUCGUAGAUAUUUGCUAGAACACCAGUGGCGAAGGCGGCCAACUGGACCAUAACUGACGCUGAGGUGCGAAAGCGUGGGGAGCAAACAGG
Molecule: ribosomal RNA, 253 nt
Filed under: uncultured bacterium
Lineage: Bacteria
Description: partial 16S ribosomal RNA
Rfam family: Bacterial small subunit ribosomal RNA
Source: RNAcentral